Molecule: ribosomal RNA, 496 nt
Filed under: uncultured bacterium
Lineage: Bacteria
Description: partial 16S ribosomal RNA
Rfam family: Bacterial small subunit ribosomal RNA
Source: RNAcentral
AUUGAACGCUGGCGGAAUGCUUUACACAUGCAAGUCGAACGGUAGAGGGGGCAACCCCUCGAGAGUGGCGAACGGGUGAGUAAUAUAUCGGAACGUGCCCAGUCGUGGGGGAUAACGUAGCGAAAGUUACGCUAAUACCGCAUACGAUCUAAGGAUGAAAGCGGGGGAUCGCAAGACCUCGCGCGAUUGGAGCGGCCGAUAUCAGAUUAGGUAGUUGGUGGGGUAAAGGCUCACCAAGCCAACGAUCUGUAGCUGGUCUGAGAGGACGACCAGCCACACUGGAACUGAGACACUGUCCAGACGCCUACGGGAGGCAGCAGUGGGGAAUUUUGGACAAUGGACGCAAGUCUGAUCCAGCCAUUCCGCGUGCAGGAUGAAGGCCCUCGGGUUGUAAACUGCUUUUGUACGGAACGAAAAGGUCUCUCUUAAUACGGGGGACUCAUGACGGUACCGUAAGAAUAAGCACCGGCUAACUACGUGCCAGCAGCCGCAGUAA